Molecule: ribosomal RNA, 325 nt
Filed under: uncultured eukaryote
Lineage: Eukaryota
Description: partial 18S ribosomal RNA
Rfam family: Eukaryotic small subunit ribosomal RNA
Source: RNAcentral
CCCUUAGAUGUUCUGGGCCGCACGCGCGCUACACUGAUGCAUUCAACGAGUCUAAAACCUGCUCUGAUAGGGGUGGGUAAUCUUUUGAAUGUGCAUCGUGAUUGGGAUAGAUGAUUGCAAUUUUUCAUCUUCAACGAGGAAUGCCUAGUAAACGCAAGUCAUCAGCUUGCAUUGAUUACGUCCCUGCCCUUUGUACACACCGCCCGUCGCUCCUACCGAUUGAAUGUUUCGGUGAAGAUUCCGGAUAGGACUUUUUUGAUUUAUUUCAAUUUUGUCUUAAAAGCUAUCUAAACCUCAACAUUUAGAGGAAGGUGAAGUCGUAACA